AAAAAAAGCAAAGUUCUUCCCCGGAGUCCUAAUUUCAUGUAGGAUAUUUUCCAUCCUCCAAUAUGAGGGUUCCCACUGUGAAUCGCCGUCUGGACAGCCGUCUGCCGAUCACAAAAGCUUUACGGGGACUGAAGACAAUUUAUUUUAGCUUUCGGUAUAAAGGGUCUGUGUUAGAUGUCAGAGCUACACACUUGCUUUUUAUUUUUCCCCUUCACAUGCAGCUUAGGAGCAUGCAUGCAUAUUAGUUCCCCAACGAUACGACUAGUGAAACAACAGAGUCCGUAGGAGAGAUUGAAUAUGAUGAAAA
This is a non-coding RNA of Carica papaya (papaya), 307 nucleotides long. Lineage: Eukaryota; Viridiplantae; Streptophyta; Magnoliopsida; Brassicales; Caricaceae. The record is from RefSeq and is a predicted model, not a curated record.